CUGCCUUCUUCUGAAGCUGCUUCUGGGCUCUCUAGUACUUGCUUUUAAGAACUGUGUUUCACUACAUUAUUAAAAAAACCUUGUCUCUUGUUAGUCGCAGCAUUAGGAAGGUUGAGGACCCCUGGUCUACAGCAGAGUGCUGUGUGUGUGUAGUGUGCUCCCUCGUACCAUCAGGUAGCAGUACUUGAUUUUAUAAUCAGACUUGAAAGUCUGAAGCUCCAAGGUUAUCCAGGAGUGAUACUAGAAAGGAUCGAAAUUGAUAUUUGUAGACAUACUCUGCCCUACUUUUUGCUGUGUUUCAUUGGUUGGAAGCAUGGGUGUUAAGCUGUGAUGUGGUUUAGCAGAACAAGAUGUUCCUCCUAAGGGAAUAGAAGACGUGUAACAGGUUUGGCAAGAUCUUACUGCUGAUACUUUGAACCCAAGGAAGAGCUGACUUGUUAGAAACAAAGCAGGGAGUGGACAUCAAUAACCUGGGUCCUCUGCAGAGUUGACCCUUCGGGCUCCUUUCAUCUUUAAUCUGUCUGUGGGACAAAGCCUUGUGUGACUUGUCACUUGUUGCUUUGUCUUUCCUCUUGCUGCAACACUGUUGGGAGCAGAGAAAAGAGAGGAGCCUCCUUAGACUCAGGAAUUAAUUAAGCAACUUCCUCUUUUUGAGAAAUCGAAUCUAAGAAGUUGUAGAGGACAAACCCGGCUGUAGAACAAGACUCUGACUAGCCUAGCUUCAGAGGAGAGUCCAGACCUGUCUGGGUCCUGCAAGCUGUGCAGAUUCAGCUCUGCUGCUCUGUGAGGUGUGCUCUGCAGUGAUGAACCUGCUGUGAAUUCAUCCCAGCUCCUACCCAGGAAAUAAGAAACUUCCCGUGGUUGAGAAAGUGAAACCAAGAAGUUUUAGAGGACAAACCAGGCUGUAGAAGGAGACAACAAUGACCAGUCUAGCUCAUAUAAGAUUCCAGAUCUGUCCGAGGCCUGCAAGCUGUGCAGAUUCAGCUAUGCUCUUCAGUGAGGUGAGCUCUGCAGUGAUGAACCUGCUGUGAAUUCAUCCCAGCUCCUGAGGCUGGCUGCACUAGAAAGUCUUGAUUGAGAAGGGGCCCAGUUUUGGAGUCCCCAGGAGAACCUGGACACAGGAUCCAUGAUUGAACUAUAUGCUGCACACCGACAGCUUCUCCACUCCAUGAUCUGACACACAGCUUGUCUUCUAUCAACUGGCUGGACCAUUCACUGCCACUGCUGCUCUUGGUUGUCGUCCCAUGACACUGGCGUCUGCAAAAUGCUGGGUCUUCUGCUGCAGCUCCACUUUCACUAGUAGCCUAUUCUGGGCUGUUUGCAUGGACUCUGACUCUGGCACACAUUGCCAAGCCUCAGCUGCUCUCCGUGUCCCCUUCACACCUUCAAAUUUAGUUCGGCUUUCAGCCAGGAUACAAACUUGGCCAUGUCUGGAACACAGCCUUGAUGCUGACUCUCAGGAAAUACUUUCCAGAAGACCUCGCCUAAAGAUGCUGGUCUCUUCGUAAUCACUGCUAAUUUCUCAGCUCCAGCUGAGCAGCAUGGAGUCCCCAGCAAAGCAAAGUCUCACUUUAGUGGUUCUGGUACCUUGUUAAUCACAGGUGAUUCCUCAGCCCCAGCUAAUCAGACCCUUUGACUCAGUUCAUUGGCACAGUAGCAUCUGCUGUCCUACUCUUCCACACGGUUUUCUUCCACGCUCCUAAAGAAUGCUCCAGUGAACUCUCAACAUGAGAUGAUUCUUCUAGUCUACAAUUCCAAAGUCCUUCUACAAUUCUACCCACAAACCAUGACCAGGUCUGUCACAACUCUGCCACACUAUGCUGGUGUCACCUUGCCUCAGGUAGGGCAACUAUUGUUGUGAGGAAACAUCAUGACGAAAGGAACUUGGGGAGGAAAGAGUUAAUUUGGCCUCGACUUCCAAGUCAUUGUUUAUCACUGAAGGAAAGCAGGACAUGGCUCUAACAGGGAAGGAACCUGGAGCCGGGUUGAUGCAGAGGCCAUGGUGGGUGCUGGUCACUGGACUGUUCCUCAUGGCUCAUUCAGCCUGCUUUCUCAUAGAAAAGCACCACCAGCAUGGGUGGAGUCCUCUUCCAUCCAUCAGUCAUUAAGACCAUGACCUACAAGCUUGCCUGAUUUUAUGGAAGUAUUUUUUAAAUUGAGGUUCCCUCCUCUCAGAGGAUUUAGCUUAUAUCGGGCUGACAUAAAAGUACCUAGAACAUACCUUACAUUUAUCACUUUCAUUCAAUAUUGCUGUAUUAUCUGGCAUCUUUGUUAGAAGGAACUUUGAAUCCCCCUCACCAAGUUUAAAUAGUACUUUGUUUCCAAUGAUGGCAUACCUGGCCAUUAUAACCACAGUCAUUAAAACAAUGUGUCCACUCUC
This is a long non-coding RNA of Mesocricetus auratus (golden hamster), 2380 nucleotides long. RefSeq lists it as uncharacterized. The record is from RefSeq and is a predicted model, not a curated record. The transcript is spliced from 3 exons. Lineage: Eukaryota; Metazoa; Chordata; Mammalia; Rodentia; Cricetidae.